Non-coding RNA from Hordeum vulgare subsp. vulgare (domesticated barley), 81 nucleotides. The record is from Rfam. NCBI's taxonomy places the organism in Eukaryota, Viridiplantae, Streptophyta, Magnoliopsida, Poales, Poaceae.
GAUGGCACAAUGAGGAGUUAAUAUAUGUAUAGAGGUUGGAAUACCAAUGACACUUCAUGUCCUUUUCAUUCUGAGUGCCUU